GUCCCUAUCGUCUAGAGGCCUAGGACACGACCCUUUCACGGUCGGUACCGGGGUGCGAAUCCCCGUGGGGACGCCA
Molecule: transfer RNA, 76 nt
Filed under: Sutterella sp.
Lineage: Bacteria; Pseudomonadati; Pseudomonadota; Betaproteobacteria; Burkholderiales; Sutterellaceae
Description: tRNA-Glu
Rfam family: tRNA
About the family: Transfer RNA (tRNA) molecules are approximately 80 nucleotides in length. Their secondary structure includes four short double-helical elements and three loops (D, anti-codon, and T loops).
Source: RNAcentral